Molecule: unclassified non-coding RNA, 507 nt
Filed under: Hevea brasiliensis (rubber tree)
Lineage: Eukaryota; Viridiplantae; Streptophyta; Magnoliopsida; Malpighiales; Euphorbiaceae
Source: RNAcentral
GAUCUUCAAAGAGUUGUAUGGAAGUACUUUAGACUCAGAUGAAGUUCUGGCUGUCGUUAUCCGAAAUUAAUAAACAAUUGUAGCUAUUCCUUUUGUAUGGUUCAGGGUUUCAAUGCCUUGAGACCUUCAUUUCAUGGCUGCCGGUAUCUGAAGUUAAUAAACAGUUAUAGAUAUUCCUGUUGUUGCAUUGUGUUGAAAGUGUUUCGUUAAACAUUCUUUCAGUGGAUAUUUUAAGGGGGUUCUAGCAUUUGGUUUUGGAGUAUAAAUCUGAUCUCUACAUGUUGAGAGAGAGCUUUUUGACACGAUUUGGGUGCUGGGGAAAUUAGGAUUGAGCAACUAAAUGUAAUCUUCUUGCUGAUUGUGAAUUUAAUGUCUUUACUUGAGUGGAUGGCUGGAUGCCCAAACUCACCUUAGUGAUGUAACAACAUGGGUGCUGUUUGGCCUGCGAUUGCUCGCAUCCCUGAUGUCCAUCUCAUUCACGUAUAAGUUGCUGCCUACCUUAUCAUG